UGGGGAAUAUUGGACAAUGGGCGCAAGCCUGAUCCAGCCAUGCCGCGUGAGUGAUGAAGGCCUUAGGGUUGUAAAGCUCUUUCGCCGGUGAAGAUAAUGACGGUAACCGGAGAAGAAGCCCCGGCUAACUUCGUGCCAGCAGCCGCGGUAAUACGAAGGGGGCUAGCGUUGCUCGGAAUCACUGGGCGUAUAGCGCACGUAGGCGGAUCGUUAAGUCAGGGGUGAAAUCCUGGGGCUCAACCUCAGAACUGCCCUUGAUACUGGCGAUCUCGAGUUCGAGAGAGGUUGGUGGAACUCCGAGUGUAGAGGUGAAAUUCGUAGAUAUUCGGAAGAACACCAGUGGCGAAGGCGGCCAACUGGCUCGAUACUGACGCUGAGGUGCGAAAGCGUGGGGAGCAAAACAGGAUUAGAUACCCUGGUAGUCCACGCCGUAAAACGAUGGAUGCUAGCCGUUGGGGAGCUUGCUCUUCAGUGGCGCAGCUAACGCCUUAAGCAUCCCGCCUGGGGAGUACGGUCGCAAGAUUAAAA
Molecule: ribosomal RNA, 528 nt
Filed under: uncultured bacterium
Lineage: Bacteria
Description: partial 16S ribosomal RNA
Rfam family: Bacterial small subunit ribosomal RNA
Source: RNAcentral